AGAUCAACAUUUUAUUAGGAGAAACUCCAUGUUUGGAUUCUCAGAGAAGCAAUAAGAGAGGAUUUUUGGUGGCUCAGAAAAUGGCUUGAGAACUGCACCUUUGACUAUUGCUACUGGGGAAUGGUUGGAAAUUUCAAUGUGACAAGGUUUUCAUCAAUCAAAUGUUAUUGAUUCAUCUUACGCCACAAUCCGGGUUGACAAAUUUUUUAAUCCAAAUUUCAAAACCCACACAUAAUCCAUUUAACCAACCUGAUUUACCCAUAAAGUAACUCCCUGAAAUCCUAAAGAAAAAGCCCUACUCCUUACUUUCGUUCAUCUCACAAACGAAAAUCCUAGUUCAUCGGACGUAAACUACUCGCUUGUCUUCGUUAUUCUUGGUGGAUUCACUCAGAUCCGGUCAUAGGUACUUACACUUUUACUAUGUUCGUCUACGAGGUCUUUGCUAGUUUCGUGGCUUGUUGAAAAAUUUAAGUCUGACUUAUGUGACUUAAUAACUAACUAAUGUAACUUGCUUAUAUACCUUACUAACUUUGUGACUGA
Molecule: long non-coding RNA, 540 nt
Organism: Solanum lycopersicum (tomato)
Lineage: Eukaryota; Viridiplantae; Streptophyta; Magnoliopsida; Solanales; Solanaceae
Source: RefSeq, a predicted model, not a curated record